ACCGGCGCACGGGUGCGUAACGCGUAUGCACCUACCUUGUACUGGGGAAUAGCCCGGAGAAAUCCGGAUUAAUGCCCCAUAGUUCUGCAUGGAUAAAGAUUACGGUACAAGAUGGGCAUGCGUCCCAUUAGUUAGAUGGUGAGGUAGCGGCUCACCAUGACAGCGAUGGGUAGGGGGCCUGAGAGGGUGAUCCCCCACACUGGUACUGAGACACGGACCAGACUCCUACGGGAGGCAGCAGUGAGGAAUAUUGGUCAAUGGACGAGAGUCUGAACCAGCCAUGCCGCGUGCAGGAAGAAUGCCUCUGGGUUGUAAACUGCUUUUACUUGGGAAUAAACCACUCUACGUGUAGAGUGCUGAAGGUACCAAGAGAAUAAGCACCGGCUAACUCCGUGCCAGCAGCCGCGGUAAUACGGAGGGUGCAAGCGUUAUCCGGAAUCAUUGGGUUUAAAGGGUCCGCAGGCGGGCUUAUAAGUCAGUGGUGAAAGCCUACAGCUUAACUGUAGAACUGCCAUUGAUACUGUAAGUCUUGAAUUUAGUCGAAGUAGGCGGAAUAGGUCAUGUAGCGGUGAAAUGCAUAGAUAUGACCUAGAACACCGAUAGCGAAGGCAGCUUACUAGGCUGAAUUGACGCUCAUGGACGAAAGCGUGAGGAGCGACAGGGAUUAGAUACCCCUGUAGUUCACGUG
RNAcentral lists this ribosomal RNA (688 nucleotides) under uncultured bacterium. RNAcentral describes it as "bacterial SSU rRNA". It matches the Rfam family "Bacterial small subunit ribosomal RNA", at positions 94 to 801 of the family's 1533-position model. The record is from RNAcentral.